This 68-nucleotide small nucleolar RNA is filed under the name Sphenodon punctatus (tuatara). Its description in RNAcentral is "Small nucleolar RNA SNORD58 (ENSSPUG00000017279.1)". It matches the Rfam family "Small nucleolar RNA SNORD58". From Rfam's summary of the family: snoRNA U58 is found in introns 1, 3 and 6 of the ribosomal protein RPL17 gene in humans. U58 is a member of the C/D class of snoRNA which contain C (UGAUGA) and D (CUGA) box motifs. The record is from Rfam by way of RNAcentral. Lineage: Eukaryota; Metazoa; Chordata; Lepidosauria; Sphenodontia; Sphenodontidae.
CUGCAGUGAUGACUUUCUUAGGACACCUUUGGAUUAAAUCAUGAAAACAACACCGAAUUCUGAGCAGC